This 241-nucleotide ribosomal RNA is filed under the name Ototyphlonemertes santacruzensis. RNAcentral describes it as "partial 28S ribosomal RNA". The record is from RNAcentral. Lineage: Eukaryota; Metazoa; Nemertea; Enopla; Monostilifera; Ototyphlonemertidae.
GGGUGGAGUCGCAAAGUGGUCCGUACAGAUUCAACCGUUCGAACGCCGACUACGCGCAGAUGCGACGCGCACUGGCUUCGUCGUCCGUCGGCGCCGAUCGGCGCACUUCUAUACGGACAGCGUCACGACCGAUUCGUCUCGGGUCAUAAGCUUCGAGGGAAGGUGACUCCUAGCUUGCCGGGAGUGUUAUAGCCCGCGAUAGCGUCGGCCCGAGACGGAUCGAGGAAUGGCCGUACCCGCU